Homo sapiens (human) is the source of this 350-nucleotide non-coding RNA. NCBI's taxonomy places the organism in Eukaryota, Metazoa, Chordata, Mammalia, Primates, Hominidae. The record is from the annotation of a RefSeq genome assembly.
AUGGAGUUUUGGCUGAGCUGGGUUUUCCUUGUUGCUAUUUCAAAAGGUGUCCAGUGUGAGGUGCAGCUGGUGGAGACUGGAGGAGGCUUGAUCCAGCCUGGGGGGUCCCUGAGACUCUCCUGUGCAGCCUCUGGGUUCACCGUCAGUAGCAACUACAUGAGCUGGGUCCGCCAGGCUCCAGGGAAGGGGCUGGAGUGGGUCUCAGUUAUUUAUAGCGGUGGUAGCACAUACUACGCAGACUCCGUGAAGGGCCGAUUCACCAUCUCCAGAGACAAUUCCAAGAACACGCUGUAUCUUCAAAUGAACAGCCUGAGAGCCGAGGACACGGCCGUGUAUUACUGUGCGAGAGA